UUAAGCGACUAAGCGUACACGGUGGAUGCCCUGGCAGUCAGAGGCGAUGAAGGACGUGCUAAUCUGCGAUAAGCGUCGGUGAGGUGAUAUGAACCGUUAUAACCGGCGAUUUCCGAAUGGGGAAACCCAGUGUGUUUCGACACACUAUCAUUAACUGAAUCCAUAGGUUAAUGAGGCGAACCGGGGGAACUGAAACAUCUAAGUACCCCGAGGAAAAGAAAUCAACCGAGAUUCCCCCAGUAGCGGCGAGCGAACGGGGAGGAGCCCAGAGCCUGAAUCAGUGUGUGUGUUAGUGGAAGCGUCUGGAAAGGCGCGCGAUACAGGGUGACAGCCCCGUACACAAAAAUGCACAUAUUGUGAGCUCGAUGAGUAGGGCGGGACACGUGGUAUCCUGUCUGAAUAUGGGGGGACCAUCCUCCAAGGCUAAAUACUCCUGACUGACCGAUAGUGAACCAGUACCGUGAGGGAAAGGCGAAAAGAACCUCGGCGAGGGGAGUGAAAAAGAACCUGAAACCGUGUACGUACAAGCAGUGGGAGCCUCUUAAUGGGGUGACUGCGUACCUUUUGUAUAAUGGGUCAGCGACUUAUAUUCUGUAGCAAGGUUAACCGAAUAGGGGAGCCGAAGGGAAACCGAGUCUUAACUGGGCGUUAAGUUGCAGGGUAUAGACCCGAAACCCGGUGAUCUAGCCAUGGGCAGGUUGAAGGUUGGGUAACACUAACUGGAGGACCGAACCGACUAAUGUUGAAAAAUUAGCGGAUGACUUGUGGCUGGGGGUGAAAGGCCAAUCAAACCGGGAGAUAGCUGGUUCUCCCCGAAAGCUAUUUAGGUAGCGCCUCGUGAAUUCAUCUCCGGGGGUAGAGCACUGUUUCGGCAAGGGGGUCAUCCCGACUUACCAACCCGAUGCAAACUGCGAAUACCGGAGAAUGUUAUCACGGGAGACACACGGCGGGUGCUAACGUCCGUCGUGAAGAGGGAAACAACCCAGACCGCCAGCUAAGGUCCCAAAGUCAUGGUUAAGUGGGAAACGAUGUGGGAAGGCCCAGACAGCCAGGAUGUUGGCUUAGAAGCAGCCAUCAUUUAAAGAAAGCGUAAUAGCUCACUGGUCGAGUCGGCCUGCGCGGAAGAUGUAACGGGGCUAAACCAUGCACCGAAGCUGCGGCAGCGACACUAUGUGUUGUUGGGUAGGGGAGCGUUCUGUAAGCCUGUGAAGGUGGCCUGUGAGGGUUGCUGGAGGUAUCAGAAGUGCGAAUGCUGACAUAAGUAACGAUAAAGCGGGUGAAAAGCCCGCUCGCCGGAAGACCAAGGGUUCCUGUCCAACGUUAAUCGGGGCAGGGUGAGUCGACCCCUAAGGCGAGGCCGAAAGGCGUAGUCGAUGGGAAACAGGUUAAUAUUCCUGUACUUGGUGUUACUGCGAAGGGGGGACGGAGAAGGCUAUGUUGGCCGGGCGACGGUUGUCCCGGUUUAAGCGUGUAGGCUGGUUUUCCAGGCAAAUCCGGAAAAUCAAGGCUGAGGCGUGAUGACGAGGCACUACGGUGCUGAAGCGACAAAUGCCCUGCUUCCAGGAAAAGCCUCUAAGCAUCAGGUAACAUCAAAUCGUACCCCAAACCGACACAGGUGGUCAGGUAGAGAAUACCAAGGCGCUUGAGAGAACUCGGGUGAAGGAACUAGGCAAAAUGGUGCCGUAACUUCGGGAGAAGGCACGCUGAUAUGUAGGUGAAGCGACUUGCUCGUGGAGCUGAAAUCAGUCGAAGAUACCAGCUGGCUGCAACUGUUUAUUAAAAACACAGCACUGUGCAAACACGAAAGUGGACGUAUACGGUGUGACGCCUGCCCGGUGCCGGAAGGUUAAUUGAUGGGGUUAGCGGUAACGCGAAGCUCUUGAUCGAAGCCCCGGUAAACGGCGGCCGUAACUAUAACGGUCCUAAGGUAGCGAAAUUCCUUGUCGGGUAAGUUCCGACCUGCACGAAUGGCGUAAUGAUGGCCAGGCUGUCUCCACCCGAGACUCAGUGAAAUUGAACUCGCUGUGAAGAUGCAGUGUACCCGCGGCAAGACGGAAAGACCCCGUGAACCUUUACUAUAGCUUGACACUGAACAUUGAGCCUUGAUGUGUAGGAUAGGUGGGAGGCUUUGAAGUGUGGACGCCAGUCUGCAUGGAGCCGACCUUGAAAUACCACCCUUUAAUGUUUGAUGUUCUAACGUGGGCCCCUUACCGGGGUUGCGGACAGUGUCUGGUGGGUAGUUUGACUGGGGCGGUCUCCUCCUAAAGAGUAACGGAGGAGCACGAAGGUUGGCUAAUCCUGGUCGGACAUCAGGAGGUUAGUGCAAUGGCAUAAGCCAGCUUGACUGCGAGCGUGACGGCGCGAGCAGGUGCGAAAGCAGGUCAUAGUGAUCCGGUGGUUCUGAAUGGAAGGGCCAUCGCUCAACGGAUAAAAGGUACUCCGGGGAUAACAGGCUGAUACCGCCCAAGAGUUCAUAUCGACGGCGGUGUUUGGCACCUCGAUGUCGGCUCAUCACAUCCUGGGGCUGAAGUAGGUCCCAAGGGUAUGGCUGUUCGCCAUUUAAAGUGGUACGCGAGCUGGGUUUAGAACGUCGUGAGACAGUUCGGUCCCUAUCUGCCGUGGGCGCUGGAGAACUGAGGGGGGCUGCUCCUAGUACGAGAGGACCGGAGUGGACGCAUCACUGGUGUUCGGGUUGUCAUGCCAAUGGCACUGCCCGGUAGCUAAAUGCGGAAGAGAUAAGUGCUGAAAGCAUCUAAGCACGAAACUUGCCCCGAGAUGAGUUCUCCCUGACUCCUUGAGAGUCCUGAAGGAACGUUGAAGACGACGACGUUGAUAGGCCGGGUGUGUAAGCGCAGCGAUGCGUUGAGCUAACCGGUACUAAUGAACCGUGAGGCUUAACCUU
Molecule: ribosomal RNA, 2902 nt
Filed under: Escherichia coli
Lineage: Bacteria; Pseudomonadati; Pseudomonadota; Gammaproteobacteria; Enterobacterales; Enterobacteriaceae
Description: bacterial LSU rRNA
Rfam family: Bacterial large subunit ribosomal RNA
Source: RNAcentral